CCUACGGGGGGCUGCAGUAAGGAAUAUUGGUCAAUGGACGAAAGUCUGAACCAGCCAUGCCGCGUGAAGGAUGAAGGCCCUCUGGGUUGUAAACUUCUUUUAUAGGGGACGAAAAAAGCUCAUUCUUGAGCACUUGACGGUACCCUAGGAAUAAGCACCGGCUAACUCCGUGCCAGCAGCCGCGGUAAUACGGAGGGUGCAAGCGUUAUCCGGAUUUACUGGGUUUAAAGGUGGCGUAGGUGGGCAGUGAUGAAAUCUCCGGGCUUAACCCGGAAACUGCCAUUGAUACUAUCUGUCUUGAAUAUUCUGGAGGUAAGCGGAAUAUGUCAUGUAGCGGUGAAAUGCUUAGAUAUGACAUAGAACACCAAUUGCGAAGGCAGCUUACUACGGGAUUAUUGACACUGAGGCACGAAAGCGUGGGGAUCAAACAGGAUUAGUACCCCAGUAGUC
This 450-nucleotide ribosomal RNA is filed under the name uncultured bacterium. RNAcentral describes it as "partial 16S ribosomal RNA". It matches the Rfam family "Bacterial small subunit ribosomal RNA", at positions 338 to 795 of the family's 1533-position model. The record is from RNAcentral.